RNAcentral lists this small RNA (90 nucleotides) under Chimaeribacter coloradensis. Its description in RNAcentral is "KDPG-aldolase RNA". It matches the Rfam family "KDPG-aldolase RNA". Lineage: Bacteria; Pseudomonadati; Pseudomonadota; Gammaproteobacteria; Enterobacterales; Yersiniaceae. The record is from RNAcentral.
GGUGCGGUCGGACACUUGUCAGCGUGCUGACAGGUCCCUGUGGCAGGGGCGCGCCAUAUAUCAACCGAUGCCGGUACGGCAUAGAUGGAG